Molecule: unclassified non-coding RNA, 1271 nt
Filed under: Hevea brasiliensis (rubber tree)
Lineage: Eukaryota; Viridiplantae; Streptophyta; Magnoliopsida; Malpighiales; Euphorbiaceae
Source: RNAcentral
GAAAAUUGAGGACGGUUUCAAAUUGAACAUAAAACAGAUGAGCAAAGCAAACUAUUUAAUUAACAAGAAGCUACAGAAGUGUUAAAUACUUGUCCAUAGAUAAAUAGGUCAACAGAUGAGCAAAGACCAAGCCCAACCACACACCCAAAUUCUAGCAUAGUUCCUGCACUCAACCUUAUUAUUAUUAUUAUUAAUUUCCAGCAAUUUCAUCCUUAUCUCAGCUCAGACAGCGACUCCAAAUCCUCUUCCACCACAGUCACCAAGUACUGAUUAUCCGAAUUCCUCACCGAGCAAUUAGCACGAAUUUCUCCAUUACCACCUGUCAACACACUCAAUUGCCCCAUCUUUAUCAUCGAAGCCACGAAUUGUUCGAAGAACAAAGAUUGGUUCGCUGCAAAGCCCUUGACGAUGUCCUUUGUCCUGGAAUCUGUGUACAAAUCUUGGUCUGAAGUAAAUAAGCCUUCGCGGUCCACGAGAUUAACGUAGUACUUGUUGUCGAAUGUAUUAGGAGAUCGAAUAUCCAGCACGGUUGUAUUGGUAGAGUUUGAUGUUGGGCAGAUUUCCUUGAGAUCAUUGGCAAAUGUCUCGUCCAUUACAGGGUCUUGGGUUGGAUACAAACGGUUUGUGAAAGAGCUGCAGUGGCUUAUUCCGAUGGUGUGGCCACCGGAGAGGGCUACCACGUCCGUGGCAUCGAAGUUUUUGGUGGCCAGCGAUGUGAGAAGUGUGGUGGUGUUGGAAGUGGGUGCUGGCAGGUUUGCCAAGGUUACAUUUUGGGUCGCAAAGGUCAACCCGUCUCGCCUUCCCAGUGGAACAUCAUAAUCAGGCCCGCCUGACAAGAAAACAGAAUCGCGGGCGGCAAUAGCAACAAUAUCAGCGCAAGAAACGACUCGGCCACACUCCUUGUGUACCCUCUCGCGCAGGUCAUCUAUGAUCUCAAAUGCCUCUUUUCUCAAGCUCAAAUUGGGAGGUGCUUCUUGCUCACUUGGUCCACUGGCUGAUCCAUCAAGCAACACUGAUGCAUCGCACCCCUGAACAAAGCAGUCAUGGAAGUGGAGACGAAGCAAGCCAGCAGCUUGUCCAACGUCCUUCUUGAACACUUUCUUGAGCUGUUUUCUGAUGAUGGAUUCUACUUUAGGGCAGGUAGACUUGUAAAAUGUCCAUGAAAGACCAUUCACUAUAGGAGCAGAGCUUUGUGCUUUAAUGACAGAAAAGCAAAAGCUUAGUGAGAGAAAAGUGAUCAAAAGUAAACGAGUAAAGGAUUUAGCAGUAGC